RNAcentral lists this long non-coding RNA (318 nucleotides) under Papio anubis (olive baboon). RNAcentral's name for it is "lncRNA (ENSPANG00000041058.1)". Lineage: Eukaryota; Metazoa; Chordata; Mammalia; Primates; Cercopithecidae. The record is from RNAcentral.
AGGCAGAAAAGUGAGAAAGGUUGUGAUGCCUUGAAGAGUUGACUUACAGCAUAUCAAGAUGUACUGUGGUGUCAUAGAGUCAUGGGAAAGAAACUGAUGUCAGAAUGGUAUAGUAGGCUAAGAUCACCAUGAAAAAGACCCUGUGCACUCUCCUAAAGAGACUGAAUGAUGAUCCCAGGAACCAAUGUGGCAGACUAUGGAAAGCGCAUUUCUGAUUCUUUUUUCUAUCAACCUGCUUUUUCACCCUGCUGGCUCCCUCAUCAAUAAGUUAAAUAAAACAAGCUUGAGGUGAGAUAAUAGAGCUCUGAUAAGCAACUA